UUACAGGCGCCCAAGUUCUCUUUGACAGCAUGUAUACGCUCGCGACUGGCAGUCACCUCUGUGGACACCUGACUGAAUAGUGGCAGUACUUGGCCCAGCGACUUGAUGACGUUGACGAGGAAGCCACAACCAGCUGACUGAAAAAAACACGCCCAGAAAUUAUGAAUUCGCUUCUUGUUAUUAUCAAAUUUCAAAGAGGGCGUGCAAAAACAACAACAACAAAAGGAAUCCGCAUCAGCGGCGAUGUCGUCAUCAGGUCAUCAUUGAGUACUAAUCUAAAGGUUCAGUGCAAGCAAUGAACAUCUCGAAAUCAUUUAAAUCUUUAUUGUACGGUAAUUUUUAGGGUUUAUUAAGAAUUUUCGAUAAAUUAUUGAAUAAAUGUACCUCAUCCUUUCCAUA
Long non-coding RNA from Drosophila innubila, 399 nucleotides. RefSeq lists it as uncharacterized. NCBI's taxonomy places the organism in Eukaryota, Metazoa, Arthropoda, Insecta, Diptera, Drosophilidae. The transcript is spliced from 2 exons. The record is from RefSeq and is a predicted model, not a curated record.